CAUAGCCGCGGGAAUACGUAGGGUGCAAGCGUUAAUCGGAAUUACUGGGCGUAAAGCGUGCGCAGGCGGUUAUAUAAGACAGAUGUGAAAUCCCCGGGCUCAACCUGGGAACUGCAUUUGUGACUGUAUAGCUAGAGUACGGCAGAGGGGGAUGGAAUUCCGCGUGUAGCAGUGAAAUGCGUAGAUAUGCGGAGGAACACCGAUGGCGAAGGCAAUCCCCUGGGCCUGUACUGACGCUCAUGCACGAAAGCGUGGGGAGCAAACAGGAUUAGAUACCCGUGUAGUCCCUGUCUCUUAUACA
Molecule: ribosomal RNA, 301 nt
Filed under: uncultured bacterium
Lineage: Bacteria
Description: partial 16S ribosomal RNA
Rfam family: Bacterial small subunit ribosomal RNA
Source: RNAcentral